GUCGGUGACGAUAGACCUUGGGUCACACCUGUUCCCAUCCCGAACACAGUAGUUAAGCCAAGGUCGCCGAUGAUACUGCUCAGCGGGAAAGUAGGUUGUUGCCGGCG
Molecule: ribosomal RNA, 107 nt
Filed under: Phycisphaerales bacterium
Lineage: Bacteria; Pseudomonadati; Planctomycetota; Phycisphaerae; Phycisphaerales
Source: RNAcentral